RNAcentral lists this ribosomal RNA (1512 nucleotides) under Serratia marcescens. Its description in RNAcentral is "partial 23S ribosomal RNA". It matches the Rfam family "Bacterial large subunit ribosomal RNA", at positions 718 to 2207 of the family's 2925-position model. Lineage: Bacteria; Pseudomonadati; Pseudomonadota; Gammaproteobacteria; Enterobacterales; Yersiniaceae. The record is from RNAcentral.
AAACCCGGUGAUCUAGCCAUGGGCAGGUUGAAGGUUGGGUAACACUAACUGGAGGACCGAACCGACUAAUGUUGAAAAAUUAGCGGAUGACUUGUGGCUGGGGGUGAAAGGCCAAUCAAACCGGGAGAUAGCUGGUUCUCCCCGAAAGCUAUUUAGGUAGCGCCUCGUGAACUCAUCUUCGGGGGUAGAGCACUGUUUCGGCUAGGGGGCCAUCCCGGCUUACCAAACCGAUGCAAACUCCGAAUACCGAAGAAUGUUAUCACGGGAGACACACGGCGGGUGCUAACGUCCGUCGUGAAGAGGGAAACAACCCAGACCGCCAGCUAAGGUCCCAAAGUCAUGGUUAAGUGGGAAACGAUGUGGGAAGGCACAGACAGCCAGGAUGUUGGCUUAGAAGCAGCCAUCAUUUAAAGAAAGCGUAAUAGCUCACUGGUCGAGUCGGCCUGCGCGGAAGAUGUAACGGGGCUAAACCAUGCACCGAAGCUGCGGCAGCGACGCUUAGGCGUUGUUGGGUAGGGGAGCGUUCUGUAAGCCGUUGAAGGUGGCCUGUGAGGGUUGCUGGAGGUAUCAGAAGUGCGAAUGCUGACAUAAGUAACGAUAAAGCGGGUGAAAAGCCCGCUCGCCGGAAGACCAAGGGUUCCUGUCCAACGUUAAUCGGGGCAGGGUGAGUCGACCCCUAAGGCGAGGCUGAAAAGCGUAGUCGAUGGGAAACAGGUUAAUAUUCCUGUACUUGGUGUUACUGCGAAGGGGGGACGGAGAAGGCUAGGCUAGCCGGGCGACGGUUGUCCCGGUUUAAGCGUGUAGGGGGUGUGACCUGGUAAAUCCGGUUGCAUAUCAACCCUGAGGCGUGAUGACGAUGCACUACGGUGCAGAAGUAGUUGAUGCCCUGCUUCCAGGAAAAUCCUCUAAGCUCCAGGUAACAUUGAAUCGUACCCCAAACCGACACAGGUGGUCAGGUAGAGAAUACCAAGGCGCUUGAGAGAACUCGGGUGAAGGAACUAGGCAAAAUGGUGCCGUAACUUCGGGAGAAGGCACGCUGGCAUGUAGGUGAAGUCCCUUGCGGAUGGAGCUGAAGCCAGUCGAAGAUACCAGCUGGCUGCAACUGUUUAAUAAAAACACAGCACUGUGCAAACACGAAAGUGGACGUAUACGGUGUGACGCCUGCCCGGUGCUGGAAGGUUAAUUGAUGGGGUCAGCCGCAAGGCGAAGCUCUUGAUCGAAGCCCCAGUAAACGGCGGCCGUAACUAUAACGGUCCUAAGGUAGCGAAAUUCCUUGUCGGGUAAGUUCCGACCUGCACGAAUGGCGUAAUGAUGGCCAGGCUGUCUCCACCCGAGACUCAGUGAAAUUGAACUCGCUGUGAAGAUGCAGUGUACCCGCGGCAAGACGGAAAGACCCCGUGAACCUUUACUAUAGCUUGACACUGAACAUUGAGCCUUGAUGUGUAGGAUAGGUGGGAGGCUUUGAAGCGUGGACGCCAGUCUGCGUGGAGCCAUCCUUGAAAUACCACCCUU